CGCCUCCUGCGCCCUCCAGCCUGUGAAGGCACGAGGGUCUCCCAGCCGUCUUUCCCCUGUCCAGGCAGCAAAGAAGGCUCUUCAGAAACUGAAGGUUAUCUGGCAGCUGGAGGUCAGCUGUGACCAGCAGUGCUGCAGAAUUCUAGGAGGCAUGAGUGGAGGGUGAAAGAGAGAAAUGUGCCAGGAGGAAGGCGCGUCAAGCCAACCACGACCAGGACCGCCUUCCACCUGGAAACCAAUGCCUUCACUGUGGGAGAAGAUGCGGGUCAAGAAUAGGGCUCCACAGCCACCUACAAACCCACAAAAAUAGUCAUCAAGGAAGACCAUCUUACUCGUCUAACGAGGGAUCGCCUAAACAGUGCCGCCAAUAAAAGAAACAAUUCAAAUAUGUAUGGUGCCCAUCUGUUGUUCAAGUAAAUGAAUUCUGCAAGAAGGCAGCUGAGCCCUCUGUCAUCC
Non-coding RNA from Anolis sagrei ordinatus, 456 nucleotides. NCBI's taxonomy places the organism in Eukaryota, Metazoa, Chordata, Lepidosauria, Squamata, Anolidae. The record is from RefSeq and is a predicted model, not a curated record.